AACCCACCCAUUUUCAGCAGAAACCAGAUGCCUGAUGGGCGGUCCUGUUUUAUCUAUCCUCCUAUCCCCUUUUCUUCCCUGCUGCUGUCUUAGAAGGGAACCUGUACUCAACAAAUUAAUUCUAUCCAUAUCCAUACUUUAGUAUUUAUCUCUAAAAGAGGACUCUGAUUUGAAACAUAAACUCACAAUGUCAUUAUCAUCUGAAAAUAUAGCAUUGUCAUCUGAAAAUACAACAAUAACUCCUUAAUAUCACAAAAUAUCCAGUUAGUAUUCAGUUUUUCCAGGUGUCUCAUAAUGUGUUUGAUUACAGGGUUUGUGUUUUCUUCCCUACAGCUUGUUUGUUGGGCUGGGAUCUUGAUGACAUCUUUAAGCAGCAACUGCUUGAUCGGUCCCCUAAGCCUCUUCAGCUACGAGUUCCUUUCUAUCUGUCUUGUUUUUCUUUACACGCGAUUUGUUGAAGAAAUGGUGCUUUGUUCUACAGGGUUUCCUGGAGUCUAUUUCUGAGGGCACCCCUGUGUCGUUGUUGGCCAUAUUUCUUUGUUCUCCAAAUUUCCUACGAUACAGUAAUGUUUCCUGCUUUUGGAAGUUAGAGAAUCAUUUUUCCAGAAAGCCAAGGUUCCUUCUAUUGUCUCUCUUGGCUGACUCGCUGGUGCCUGUGACGUCAACGACCAGCUCCAUAAUGAAUUCCAAGUGUCCUCUGGUCCGCAUCUCUCAUCGGCGUGUCUCCAAACGGCUGCCCAACAUCGCCCUCAGAUGCCUCACUGCCACUGCAUCCUGCAAGUCUGGUCCACUUCUAGCGAGGACACCCUGUCCAUCACAUCACGCAAGUCAAAACUGUAGAAGUUCUUACUGACCCCUCCCCCCCCUCCCUCCCAGACAUCUGCUUAUUCCCAAUGCCUGUUCUACUUCCUGUGUAACUCUCUCAUCGCUCCCCUUAUUUCCAGCUGCCCUUCACCCACUUUCCUGGUUGGAUACCAACCGCUCACAGCUAAGCUGCCUCCCUAACUAGUCCCCCUGUCUUCCUCUGCUCUUGUACUUCUUCAGCAUAUACCCCACGUGGCCACCUAAACCUUUUUCCUGAUCUCUCUGAUCGUGUCACCCCUUCUUAAAACCUCCGAUAGGUUCCAGCUACGUUUUGGAUAAAGCUGGGGUUCUUGAAGGGCGGCUUCCAAGACUCCAUUCCGUCAGGUACCCCCUGCCCCUGUCCUGGCAGCCCCCGCCCAGAUGACACCUGUCUUCUUUGCACAUCACAUCAGAGGGCUGUGUCCCUGCCCCACCUGCUCUUUGCCCUGCUCUUUGCUCAUCGCUUUCUGGAUGCUGCCCAUCCCCUGUGUCUGAGCUCAGGCACAGACCUGUCUUAUUCACACCUUCCCGGACCCUCAAGCUAGGCCAGGUGUCUUGUCACCUGUCUCAGAGAACUGCUCAUUUGCGCUAACACUCAGAAUAGCUUCUGGUCAGACGUCUAUCUGGCAUUACUGGAUUUGUCUCUCUUGCUAGCCUGGGCCUUCUUGGGACUAGGAACCAUGUCUAUUUUUAACCAGUGUACCCUCAGACCCUUGCAAGGUGCCCCACACAUUGCACCUGCUCAGUAUGUGUUCAAUGAGUGAAUAAAGCCACCAAGGCACCUCCAAAAAGGGCCUCUGAUGUCUGCACCAACUCAUUGGAAUAAUCUAACAUAGGCAGCUCUGGAAAGAAGUAUGUAUUUGAUGCCGCAAAAAGGAAUUCUAACAGAAAAGAAUGCUCGGAACCUUCUAAGGCCCAUAUAUGAGAGAGAUGAAGUCUAGCUUGUCAGUUUCAUGAUGAGUUUGAUGUUUCUUCUCCUGGAGGAUUGUGACUAAUGUAACAUGACCGCAGAUAUAAUUAGACCUGGUGUUUGCGCCUUUCCUUUUGCACUUAAUCAGUUUUGAGGGAAGUAAAUCUUGAAUCCUAAUCUAUCAUCAGGGUAGAUGCUACAAUUGUGAUGACAUCAUAGCAAGAACGACAUAGAAUAUUUACAGGUGAGCUUUCCGGUGGACGCGCAUGCAACAUCUCCUCUGUUCCGCGUUACUCUAACUCCGUGAUAAUUAUCAGGCUGGUUAUUUGUUAAAACAAGGUAGAGACAUAUUCCAGGCAAGAACUGGGUGCCGUCGCAUGAUAAGCUGCUCUAAGCAGAAAAUAAUGAAUACACUGAGAUUUGCUCCCAGCGAUUCAGAACUAAUCCUGAACGAAUAAUAAACUAGGUCAUACAGUUAGGCCUACAGAGAAUAAGUACAUCCUCUGAGCCAUUAAGACCUCUGAAACCAGUACUGCUUCAGAAUGGGAGGAACUAGUUAAUUUCCACGUGCGGGGAUGACCUCGGGAAACCUCAGUCAGAUUUCAGAAAUGUCACAAGUAAAUUGAACGCCGGGGUCUUGGAUUAAGCAAGGGUCAAGAACACAGUGGGAAGAGGAGGAUCGUGUGUGUGCGCGCAUGCGUGUGUGUGCUGGCCAAGAGAAAAUUUGCAGGUAGAUUUUAGGCCUUCAAUCUGAGCACAUAACUCCUGUUGAGAGCAAUAGGAAUUGAACACCCAGACAGAGAGAGAAAAAUGCCAACCAAUCCCCAGUGCAGGGUGUCAAUUAGCUACAUAAAAGAAAAUAGAAAAUAGAACCAGGGAUUGGUUAGGUGAUCCAAGAGAAGGAACGCAUCUCGAAACAUUCACAAGCAUCCCCCAUUAAAAAAUGGGGAGACGGAGACAUGGAAGAGGGCAGAUGAGGCCGGAAAUCAUCCUCUCAACCCUCUCAACGCCGACGAUGUGACACCAUUCUCCACGCGCGGUGCGUGACCGAAGAGAUCUGCUGCUCCUGAUUUGUAUGCUUGGAACAUUUUUCUGGAAUUGGAGACACACCAAUGGACACACCAAUGGACAUUUUUCUAGAAUUGGAGAUGCAGACUGACAGAGCUAAAUAAAGAAAGUUAGUACAUGAA
Molecule: long non-coding RNA, 2943 nt
Filed under: Mustela putorius furo (domestic ferret)
Lineage: Eukaryota; Metazoa; Chordata; Mammalia; Carnivora; Mustelidae
Description: lncRNA (ENSMPUG00000025715.1)
Source: RNAcentral